RNAcentral lists this ribosomal RNA (140 nucleotides) under Lacticaseibacillus casei. RNAcentral's name for it is "Lactobacillus casei partial 16S ribosomal RNA". It matches the Rfam family "Bacterial small subunit ribosomal RNA", at positions 1402 to 1533 of the family's 1533-position model. The record is from RNAcentral. Lineage: Bacteria; Bacillati; Bacillota; Bacilli; Lactobacillales; Lactobacillaceae.
CCAUGGGAGUCUGCAAUGCCCAAAGCCGGUGGCCUAACCUUCGGGAAGGAGCCGUCUAAGGCAGGGCAGAUGACUGGGGUGAAGUCGUAACAAGGUAGCCGUAGGAGAACCUGCGGCUGGAUCACCUCCUUUCUAAGGAA